This 467-nucleotide ribosomal RNA is filed under the name uncultured bacterium. RNAcentral describes it as "partial 16S ribosomal RNA". It matches the Rfam family "Bacterial small subunit ribosomal RNA", at positions 29 to 507 of the family's 1533-position model. The record is from RNAcentral.
ACGAACGCUGGCGGCGUGCUUAACACAUGCAAGUCGAACGGAAAGGCCCUGCUUUUGUGGGGUGCUCGAGUGGCGAACGGGUGAGUAACACGUGAGUAACCUGCCCUUGACUUUGGGAUAACUUCAGGAAACUGGGGCUAAUACCGGAUAGGAGCUCCUGCUGCAUGGUGGGGGUUGGAAGGUUUGGGCGGUUGGGGAUGGACUCGCGGCUUAUCAGCUUGUUGGUGGGGUAGUGGCUUACCAAGGCUUUGACGGGUAGCCGGCCUGAGAGGGUGACCGGCCACAUUGGGACUGAGAUACGGCCCAGACUCCUACGGGAGGCAGCAGUGGGGAAUAUUGCACAAUGGGCGGAAGCCUGAUGCAGCAACGCCGCGUGCGGGAUGACGGCCUUCGGGUUGUAAACCGCUUUCGCCUGUGACGAAGCGUGAGUGACGGUAAUGGGUAAAGAAGCACCGGCUAACUACGUG